GUGAGCAGAGAGGCUGCAGAGAAAGGACCAGCUCGCUACUCCUUUCCACGGAAUCUGAGGAGCUGAGAUUCCUGGCCACGGAGAGUUGUCGCUUCCUGGGCUCACUCAGAGGCAAGGGUCCCAUGUGCGAGGCACAGCUAAGGACCGUGACACACCCAUGGGCUCCAUCCUCACGCUGGGAUUAGAGAGGACACGGCACCUCCAUCAGUGCAGUGAAGCAGUAAGUGAGCUGGGCUGUUUAAAUGUUACAAAAUGCUCAGGGGGGCGUCAGCCCUGCCAGCCAGGGAGAGGAAGCUUCACGGAAGACAGGCCGCAUCAGCUGGGCCGGGAUGAGAUCUUAACAGAGGGGAGGCUGGCUGGAAAGACGUGUGGCAUUCUAGGCAGCAUUGAGGUCAAUCCUGGCUGCAAGGGGAGGGUCUCGAUGUUAGGCCCUGGGUACUGACUUUAUCCUGUGAGCCACAGAGAGCCCCUGGGAUGUUUUAAAAGCAACAUUAUAGGACAAAGCAGUGUUAUAGGAAGAUGAAUCUGGCA
RNAcentral lists this long non-coding RNA (531 nucleotides) under Equus caballus (horse). RNAcentral's name for it is "lncRNA (ENSECAG00000048763.1)". The record is from RNAcentral. Lineage: Eukaryota; Metazoa; Chordata; Mammalia; Perissodactyla; Equidae.